Long non-coding RNA from Pocillopora damicornis (cauliflower coral), 563 nucleotides. Lineage: Eukaryota; Metazoa; Cnidaria; Anthozoa; Scleractinia; Pocilloporidae. The record is from RefSeq and is a predicted model, not a curated record.
AUUGGAUUUGCAGAGUCGAAAGAUGAGGAUGAAAACAGGGACUCGAAGAGGAUUGGAGAAUUGGAAUGGGAAAUGCACAGAGAGAUCAAUGAUGGAGAACUCGGCAAACUACAAGUGAUGAGAAUGAAGUAAAAUGAUGAGUAGCACAGUCACGCCGCCAUUUUGGACUCAAGUGCCUUUGCUAACGAAUAUCUUCGGGAAGGUUUAACCUCUAAAUCUCACACUUUCCACAAUAUAAGCUUAGUUAUCCUACUUCAUUUUGGUGUAAAGAAAACAAGGUUUGCGACAAAGUGAAAAUUGUAAAAAAUAAAUAUUUUCUGAAAAUGCGUGAAUUUCUGGGUGUAACGCGUAACAUGAAAUGUAUCAGACGGAAGAAAAAAAAUGAAAUAUCUCAAUAUAGAACGCACGUGGGGCCACUAUUUUUUGGCCGUUAGUAGUUUAUGACAAAAGCAACAGGCAGUAUGAUUUGCAACAAGAAUGGUUUAUUCUAACGCAAGUUAUAAACGUCUGUUUUUAUCACUGGAAAAUGUAACGCUCGCAACUAUUAAAACAACCAUAGUGUG